Molecule: ribosomal RNA, 1894 nt
Filed under: human gut metagenome
Description: bacterial LSU rRNA
Rfam family: Bacterial large subunit ribosomal RNA
Source: RNAcentral
UCAAGCUGAAAAGAGCGCAAGGGGAAUGCCUUGGCAUCAGGAGCCGACGAAGGACGUGACAAGCUGCGAUAAGCCACGGGGAGGAGCAAAUAUCCGAUAUAUCCGUGGAUUUCCGAAUGGGGGAACCCGCUCAAGCAAUACUUGAGUAUCGUGCGUUGAAUCAAAUAGGCGUACGAAGGGAACGGCCUGAACUGAAACAUCUAAGUAGGGCCAGGAAAAGACAUCAACCGAGAUUCCGCUAGUAGUGGCGAGCGAACGCGGAAGAGGCCAAACCGGAGGAUUUUAUUCUCCGGGGUUGCGGACAGACAUCAUGACCAGAGAAAGUUAGGAGAACGGCGUGGGAAAGCCGGCCACAGAAGGUGAGAGCCCUGUAUCUGAAAAUGAAGACUGGCAGUCUGGAUCCAGAGUACCGCGGGACACGUGAAACCCCGUGGGAAACCGGGUGGACCACCAUCCAAGCCUAAAUACUACCUGAUGACCGAUAGAGGAGCAGUACCGUGAGGGAAAGGUGAAAAGGACCCCGGGAGGGGAGUGAAAGAGAACCUGAAACCUUGUGCUUACAAGCAGUCAAAGCACGUUAAAGUGUGAUGACGUACUUUUUGUAGAACGGUCCGGCGAGUUAUAGUAACGAGCAAGCUUAAGGUAUUGAGUACCGGAGGCGAAGCGAGAGCGAGUCUGAAUAGGGCGUAAAGUUCGUUGCCAUAGACCCGAAACCGGGUGACCUAUCCAUGAGCAGGCUGAAGUGAGAGUAAAAUCUCAUGGAGGGCCGAACCGACCCCCGUUGCAAUGGUGGCGGAUGACUUGUGGAUAGCGGAGAAAUUCCAAUCGAACUCGGAGAUAGCUGGUUCUCCCCGAAAUAGCUUUAGGGCUAGCGUUAUGUUAGAUUACCGGAGGUAAAGCACUGAAUGGUGGCGGGGCCGAUAAGGUUACCAAGACCUAUCAAACUCUGAAUGCCGGAUAAUUGAUGCAUAGCAGUCAGACAGCGUGAGAUAAGUUUCGUUGUCAAAAGGGAAACAGCCCAGACCCACAGCUAAGGUCCCAAAUUCAUGCUAAGUGGAAAACGAUGUGGAAUUGCGAAAACAACCAGGAUGUUGGCUUAGAAGCAGCCACUCAUUAAAAGAGUGCGUAAUAGCUCACUGGUCGAGUGACUCUGCGCGGAAAAUAUAACGGGGCUAAGCGUAACACCGAAGCUUGGGCUGCACAGCAAUGUGCGGGGUAGGGGAGCGUCGAAUAUGGGGUGAAGUCGCAGCGGAAGCAGCGGUGGACUGUAUUCGAGUGAGAAUGCCGGAAUGAGUAGCGAGAAUUAUGUGGGAAUCAUAAUGGCCGAAAAUCUAAGGUUUCUUGGGGAAGGUUCGUCCGCCCAAGGUAAGUCGGGAGCUAAGCUCAGGCCGAGAGGCGUAGGCGAUGCACAUACGGUAGAAAUUCCGUAACCACCGAAACUUAAACAGAGGGACACUUCGAAAUAGCGGAACCCGGGCGUUGGUUGACCCGGGCGUAAGGGAGCGAAAUUAGAGUAGCGAAGUCCGCGAUGUUCGGAGGCGAGAAAAGCUCUGAGGUAUGCUAAGGUGCCCGUACCGCAAACCGACACAGGUAGAUGAGGAGAGAAUCCUAAGGCCAACGGGAGAAGGGUUGUUAAGGAACUCGGCAAAUUGACCCCGUAACUUCGGAAGAAGGGGAGCCCCCUACGGGGGGUCGCAGAGAAAUGGCCCAAGCAACUGUUUACCAAAAACACAGGUCUAUGCUAAAUCGAAAGAUGACGUAUAUGGGCUGACGCCUGCCCGGUGCCGGAAGGUUAAGAGGAGAUGUCAGGCAACGAAGCAUUGAAUUUAAGCCCCGGUAAACGGCGGCCGUAACUAUAACGGUCCUAAGGUAGCGAAAUUCCUUGUCAGGUAAG